This is a long non-coding RNA of Nicotiana tabacum (common tobacco), 959 nucleotides long. RefSeq lists it as uncharacterized. The record is from RefSeq and is a predicted model, not a curated record. Lineage: Eukaryota; Viridiplantae; Streptophyta; Magnoliopsida; Solanales; Solanaceae.
UGGAUCUCCACGUAGGAUUGAUAUUGUCUUCUUUUUACUUUGGAUGAUAAACAUAACUAUUUAACCACUCCAAAAAUCAAAUUUGCUACCGUUCAUCCACCAAGAGCCACCAGUACACCCCCAUCUUCUUAUCCUUACCGGUUAUUCCAGCCCAUUCUAGGGACUCAGAGAAAGUGAUUCACCAUGAAAAUCAAGUUAUUCAUUAGAAUACCCACAGUAAAGCAGCGACUAAUUUACCGCGGAAAGCAGUUCCAAUGGGAGCAAACGUUGGCAGCUAAUCUUUCACUUUUAUCUCAUCUUCUCUUCCUUGCACGAAUCACCAAUAUCAGAAAAAGGCAUAUCAACCUAGCCGAAAAAGAUGACUCGUGCGCCAAAAAGACCUUGUCUGCCAAAUCGAAAGGUUCUCCGGUCCGAGUUUAUUCUGAGGGCGAUAUUGCCAGACAGAUCUGAAGCUUUUCUAAGGAAGAAAUUUAAGAUUUUGAAAAUGGGUUUGGAGGGUGACUCAUUGGUAUUGUUUAAGUGGUAAUGGAUAAGGUUGGCACCUUCACUAUUUUGGUGGGCUAUUGGUGACGAAAGGUCCCUUUUUUCAAUGGUUGAGCUCUCUUAUAGUGGUAGUGAAAAGGUAAAUUUGGCUCUUUGUCGUUGUGGAUGGCUUUCUUCCUAGAGCAAAUUUUCAGGUGGUCGUCCAUGGUUCUCUUUGGGUUGGAGAAGAUAAUAUCAAUCCUGGGUGGAGAUCCAAUUCAGCUAAAAAAAUAUUUUUUUAUAACGCUUUGUGCCCCUGUGGAGUAACAGUUAGUUUUGAGGGUAUAAGUGGCCAGUUUAUUAAUGGCAGGGAUAUUAUUGAUACCCAAAUCCAAUUGAGGGAAAAAUUGCUCUAUUUCCAAUAGUUUAAGAGCAAUUUUGGUCAUUUUCCGUUGUUUUUAUUAUUUUUUAUUUUCUUCUACUCGUUUUUUCUCUUA